Molecule: ribosomal RNA, 253 nt
Filed under: uncultured bacterium
Lineage: Bacteria
Description: partial 16S ribosomal RNA
Rfam family: Bacterial small subunit ribosomal RNA
Source: RNAcentral
UACAGAGGGGGCAAGCGUUGUUCGGAAUUACUGGGCGUAAAGGGCGCGUAGGCGGCCUUCUAAGUCGAACGUGAAGUCCCCGGGCUCAACCCGGGAACUGCGUCCGAUACUGGAAGGCUUGAAUCCGGGAGAGGGAUGCGGAAUUCCAGGUGUAGCGGUGAAAUGCGUAGAUAUCUGGAGGAACACCGGUGGCGAAGGCGGCAUCCUGGACCGGCAUUGACGCUGAGGCGCGAAAGCCAGGGGAGCAAACGGG